AAUAUUUAGAGGGUUUCUCUCCAUCUUCUAUCCAUUUAAUCUUUCUCCUAAUACACUCACCCUGCAUCUUUUUCUUUCUGAUAGCUUCAACACACCUCACAGCCUUAUUAGCAUAAUCGGAACCUUUCUGGUUUUUAUAUUCACGAAAGAAUGAAAAAACCCGAGAAAGUCAAAACUUCGUAUAUCUCGGGAUUUUAACGAGACCAGUCUCAUACUCGUGAAAAUCGAGAGAGGAGUUUAAAUGGAAAAAGUAAGUAAAAGUUUUUGUUUCUUAUAUUGGCAAGCUUUUAAAUUAUUUAAAGUUGCAGAACAAUUGUUUAUUAAUGUGAAGUCGAAGUUUGGGGUGAUUAGCCUUAUCUCUUUAAAUUUUGUUCAGCAUGAAACAGUCUGAACAGCAAUCCUCGAUUUUGUCAAUAAUCUAAAACGUGCUAAGGAGUAGUCAUUCGUCGGUUUACCUGCGGCUUCCAGAUGAUCUGAAGAUCAGGAAUAUAGAAAAUAUUGUCAAUUUGAUAUUGCUAAUGACCCAGUCAAGUCUGCUGAAGCCCAGAAGUUUCCAGACCAUGACAUUAAUGAAUAUUCCUUGAAUGGAAUGCAUGAGGAUUAGAAUGGAACCUUAUUCUGCCUUUUUACCAACUCACACCAUCUUUUCAAGAUUUAUGGAGCCAACCACAGAAGAAUUUGUUCUAUACACAUCAUUCAUAACAUUCUUAUUUAUGUUGCAUAACUUUAAAUGUUACUGGAUGAAUUGUGUUCACAUAAUGAAUACCAGCAAACUUUUUAUCUAACAUAUGUUUUUAUAUUACAUAUUCAUAUACAUGUUACAUAACAUUUUUGGAAACAGCUAUUUUUUUUAAAUUGGAAUUUAGCCUUACUAUUUUAUACAAGUUUUUUUUAAAGGGACUUGGACACGAUUUUAGAUCAAAAUUUUGUUUUCAAUUUCUUUAUGGAUAAAAUGAUUUACUUGCACAUUUUGAAUAAUUGACCAUAAUUUGAAUGUUAGAAGUCAAGUGAUAAGAUAGAUACAGGGGUACGAAUUUAUUGUUAUGUAAACAAAGCUCGAGUCUUAUGUUUGUUUACAAAUAAUAUAAAGUAUGAAAUUACCAUACUGAUUCGAUGUGAUCAUAAAUGAUAUUAAUGAUAUUAUUAAUAGAAAAAAGCAACAUUUAAAUGAAACUUACACCAAUAAAACACAUAUGUUAAUAAUAACAAGACUCGCGCUUUGUUAACAAAACAAAGAAUAUUUGAUUCUUAUCUUUCUUUUAACUCAAUAUUUGACUUUCAAAAUUAGUAUCAUGAUUUUUUUAGAAUGAUAUAUGCAAUUUCAUUAAUUUAUUUUUCAUUUUAAGAAAAUUCAUUUUAAAAAAGAUCUCUUACAACCUGUGUAUUUUUUUUUCAGUUUACAUAACACAGUGUAUUAAUUGAAUGUAGUUGUGUAGAUUUAUACAUGUACCUACAAGCAAUAUACAUUUAAUAUUCACCAGGUACAUGUACCAGCCUACUAUAUUUGAUAAAUAAAUGUACUUCUUUCAUGCCUUUUACUCAUUGUUAUAUGUAUUAUUUAUAAUUAAAAUACUUUGAAAACUUU
Magallana angulata is the source of this 1585-nucleotide long non-coding RNA. RefSeq lists it as uncharacterized. The transcript has 3 exons. The record is from RefSeq and is a predicted model, not a curated record. Lineage: Eukaryota; Metazoa; Mollusca; Bivalvia; Ostreida; Ostreidae.